Molecule: ribosomal RNA, 435 nt
Filed under: uncultured Flavobacterium sp.
Lineage: Bacteria; Pseudomonadati; Bacteroidota; Flavobacteriia; Flavobacteriales; Flavobacteriaceae
Description: bacterial SSU rRNA
Rfam family: Bacterial small subunit ribosomal RNA
Source: RNAcentral
GGAAUAUUGGACAAUGGGCGCAAGCCUGAUCCAGCCAUGCCGCGUGCAGGAUGACGGUCCUAUGGAUUGUAAACUGCUUUUAUACAGGAAGAAACCCUGGUUCGUGAACCAGCUUGACGGUACUGUAAGAAUAAGGAUCGGCUAACUCCGUGCCAGCAGCCGCGGUAAUACGGAGGAUCCAAGCGUUAUCCGGAAUCAUUGGGUUUAAAGGGUCCGUAGGCGGUUUAGUAAGUCAGUGGUGAAAGCCCAUCGCUCAACGGUGGAACGGCCAUUGAUACUGCUAAACUUGAAUUAUUAGGAAGUAACUAGAAUAUGUAGUGUAGCGGUGAAAUGCUUAGAGAUUACAUGGAAUACCAAUUGCGAAGGCAGGUUACUACUAAUUGAUUGACACUGAGAGACGAAAGCUAGGGGAGCGAAUGGGAUUAGAUACCCGAG